Molecule: long non-coding RNA, 1890 nt
Organism: Uranotaenia lowii
Lineage: Eukaryota; Metazoa; Arthropoda; Insecta; Diptera; Culicidae
Exons: 4
Source: RefSeq, a predicted model, not a curated record
UGCGCGACAGAAAACGGUUGACAGCUGAAGUUCUCCCGUGAUACAGGACGAUUGUUCGAGUACCUGUGCAUUCGUAGGAAUUUCUUCCCAGACUUCAGGAGAAGUUAAGCGUCACGAGAUUUUGGAGGAUUUCCAUUCGAACUUCGAAUAACUUCAGCAAUUUCCCUGUGGUUCGAAGGAUCAUUAUCCCGAGGGGGAAAAUUGCAUUCUUAGUGUGUAUAUGUUGUUAAAAGUAGUUAGUGUAAGAAACUUAGAUCUGUUAAUGUAUUUACUGCAAUUGAACAAUACGUGAUUGAUAUCUUCCUUAACAUGGCAUAAGUCGCAGUUUUCAUCACUGGCAAUCUUCCACUGAAAUAAUUUUUCUUUCGUCAGAGUGAUGUGUUCUACACGGUAAUUUUAGAUUAUUCAGAGACUGAAUAAUUUCGGUUCAGGGAUCGCACCAUGUAUGAAGAUAAAAACAACUGAAUGAAAUCCUUCAAAAUUCUGAGUUGUUUUCAUCUAGCGAGUUCCAAAUCCUGGGACUUAGCAAAGACGCACACUUUUUCGUGCAAAAUAGAUGAAAACAACUCAGAGAGGUUCAAAAAACAAUAUGAUUGUUUGGAUGCGACGGUCGGGUGCAGGUGAUGAAAAAAAAGGGAAAUUUCAGCUUUGAUGGCCGGACACAAAUCUCAACUGGAGGCAGAAAGAUGGCAGUGACAACACAGCUCCCUUGCCUCCCGGGGCAGGCAGUCGAGGGGGAGGAAGCCGAAGUCGUGACAACUCACAAUCCUUAAACAUUUUCCCAAAAAUAGUAUGGAGCGAGGCGCCUACGACGGGAGUGCCGGCAACAGAAGUUGGUGUGGUCGAGGAGAAAGUGGUGAUCGGGGCAAUCUUAUCGGUAACCAUCGGAAGAACAGCCAGGAUCGGUACUACCGGAAGGUAAGUCAGGAUUCACGGUACAGUCGUGAUAACAGUACCGAAGAAAAUUGUUUCCAUUCACUAACUUCGGUGAAACAGAAUGAUGAUAAAUAAACGUACUUUCAGACAUUUGUUUUGUUUUUCUUUUAUUCGAAAUUUCAGUAUAUUUCUUCAAAAAUACACAGUUCCUUUCGAAAGCGUAUCAAAAUUUGAUAAAAUUCUGAGUUGUUAUGAUUCAGAUUCUUUCAGAUGAGCUCAAAACAUUCCUGAACAAAAACAACUCAAAAUUCGCGAAAACCCCUAAAAUUCAUUUCUGAGUUAUGCCGCUCUAAUCAAAAUUUGAGUUUUCCCAGUUUUGGCGCAUUUUGAAUUGUUUUCCUUCAAAUCUGAGUCACGGAGAAUUAGAGUGUACACCCAAAAUAAUUUAGAAAUUUAAAAUACGGGAUUUUUCCCGUAAACUAAGCUUUUGUGGCAUAACAUUGAUUCUACGUGUGCCUUGUAGUAAAUACUGUAUUUCAAAUGACUGUCACAUGAAUUUCACGUAAAAUCUAGUGGAUGGUUCGAAAUCGGUUGUCUUCAAUUUUCUCAAUCGUGUGGAAGUAAAUUCUUAUUGGAAAAGGGAUUUGUCGUCAGUGAGCUUAUUAUAUUCUUAUGUAAAAACUCCAGCAACGGUUAUGGCAGUUCGGAGGGUUCAACGUCUGAAGACGAGAUCGACGAGCACACUGAGCAUCGUGCGUGGAACCCAAGGAGAUUCGGAAAAGCUUCUGGAAGUCUGGUCAUGUUCGCUCAUGCUUUGGCGGAACUCCCGGAAUUGAUGUUCGACAAAUUCGUGGCACAAGGAACAAGUUGCACAAGGAUCGUAAAAACCAACCUGCGUUGUUCAACCACCCGGAAUCCAGAUAAUUUUUUUCACACAAGUUAUAGUGAUUACUGUAGUGAAUGUGAUUAAUUUAGUGAUAGUGAUUGUUUAUAAAAUAAAUUGAAAUUUAUUAU